This 1279-nucleotide long non-coding RNA is filed under the name Mytilus galloprovincialis (Mediterranean mussel). Lineage: Eukaryota; Metazoa; Mollusca; Bivalvia; Mytilida; Mytilidae. The record is from RNAcentral.
AUCGGUGUGGACAAUUCCAUGUUUAUAUCACAUGACAUUUCCGCGGGAAAUUCUUCUAUUGAGACCGUACGAAUGGAUGUGAAUUUGGAUUAAUGCAUAUAUAUUGUGAAAUAAAAUUGUUGAUGAUCACAUUUUCUACAACACAGUUAGAUGUCAGGUUUGUACACAUUUAGUCUCAACUCUAGUCUAUAUUCGGGGGGGGGCUGGGGCCCGGCCCCCCCUUUCGUGGGAAAAAUUGUUGAUUAUAUAGGGAAUCAUUGAAGCAUGACUGGAACGGGCCCCCUCUUAGGUCAGUCAGCGGCCCCCCCCCCUUUAGGAAAAGUUCUGGAUCCGCCACUGUAUAUUCUAAACUGAGCCAGUGAACUUACUGGUGAAGGGAUACAUGUGCUGCAUAAUCCCAUCACAUUUCAGACAUUUCAACCAACAAAAAACUAUUGAAUAUUUUAUCAACUGACAUAUCUAUUUUUAUUUUAUCUAAUGUCAGUCAUACCAACUGACAAACUCAGCGGAAACCGUGUAUUCAAUAACAAUUUUAUUUGUGUAUUUUAGGGGUUGUUUACAUUUUGAGUUGUAUGAUAAACGUAUAUAUAUAUGUUUGUAUGUGUUUCUUAAUGAAAACAGCUCAAUUUUAUGAUACUUUAUUAUACAGAAUCAUGCCACACAGUUUGUUUACACUUGAGUGUGUCUAAAUGACCCACAUUACAGUCAUGAAAAUGGUAUAUCCCAAUUUAUUUAUUCAAUAAAUUUGGUACAAAUUUCCAUUGUCUGUGUUUUUCUAUAGAGUAAAUGAUGACUUGCAUUAAUCCAUCAAUCACUCUAUUGGCACACACAUGCUAAUGUAGGGAAACAGAAUCUGCUGAGGUUUGCCAAUUGCUGUUUCCUAAAAAUCUAUCACAACUUUCGAUUUCUUCGUUUAUUUCUGUAAUCACGAAAACAACCGAAGAUGACAAUAUUGUAGGGCGCCAUGUGCUGGUGUGUAAAUAAUGUGCUAUGUUUCAUGCUAAUUAACAAGUCUUUAAAUUGCGCCCGGCCUUCGCAGAUGAAUUGUUUGAAGUCAGGUUGUACUAGUUCCUGUCAAUAUAAUACUUCCAUGGUUAUAUAUAUAUAUAUAUAUAUACACAUUAAUGGAUCUACAAUCUGUCGAUACCUGUAUCUUGGCAUUGCACAAGGUCAUGUUUUUUUCUCUUGACUGUUAAUGACGUCUUUACACUAAUGGAUGUGUGCAGAUUGAUAAUUUAGUCUUAGCCGAAGGGACAAGUGAGCUUAUGCCAUCACUUGG